Molecule: ribosomal RNA, 76 nt
Filed under: Bacillus haynesii
Lineage: Bacteria; Bacillati; Bacillota; Bacilli; Caryophanales; Bacillaceae
Description: partial 16S ribosomal RNA
Rfam family: Bacterial small subunit ribosomal RNA
Source: RNAcentral
UUCAUGGAGAGUUUGAUCCUGGCUCAGGACGAACGCUGGCGGCGUGCCUAAUACAUGCAAGUCGAGCGGACCGUCG